UAGGGAAUCUUCCACAAUGGACGAAAGUCUGAUGGAGCAACGCCGCGUGAGUGAAGAAGGUUUUCGGAUACGUAAAGCUCUGUUGUUGGUGAAGAAGGAUAAGGCAGUAACUGGUCUUUAUUUGACGGUAUCAACCAGAAAGUCACGGCUAACUACGUGCCAC
Molecule: ribosomal RNA, 163 nt
Filed under: uncultured bacterium
Lineage: Bacteria
Description: partial 16S rRNA
Rfam family: Bacterial small subunit ribosomal RNA
Source: RNAcentral